UACGUAGGAUGCAAGCGUUGUCCGGUUUUAUUGGGUUUAAAGGGUGCGUAGGCGGCCUAUUAAGUUAGUGGUGAAAACGUUCGGCUUAACCGGAUACCCGCCAUUGAUACUGAUAGACUUGAGUGCGACAGAGGGUGUUGGAAUGUGUGGUGUAGCGGUGAAAUGCUUAGAUAUCACGCAGAACACCAAUUGCGAAGGCGGAUGCCUAUGUCGUAACUGACGCUGAGGCACGAAAGCGUGGGGAGCAAGCAGG
RNAcentral lists this ribosomal RNA (253 nucleotides) under uncultured bacterium. RNAcentral's name for it is "partial 16S ribosomal RNA". It matches the Rfam family "Bacterial small subunit ribosomal RNA", at positions 524 to 776 of the family's 1533-position model. The record is from RNAcentral.